RNAcentral lists this ribosomal RNA (580 nucleotides) under uncultured Pseudomonas sp. Its description in RNAcentral is "bacterial SSU rRNA". It matches the Rfam family "Bacterial small subunit ribosomal RNA", at positions 790 to 1368 of the family's 1533-position model. The record is from RNAcentral. Lineage: Bacteria; Pseudomonadati; Pseudomonadota; Gammaproteobacteria; Pseudomonadales; Pseudomonadaceae.
GUAGUCCACGCUGUAAACGUUGGGCGCUAGGUGUGGGGUGCUUCCACGUGUCCCGUGCCGUAGCUAACGCAUUAAGCGCCCCGCCUGGGGAGUACGGCCGCAAGGCUAAAACUCAAAUGAAUUGACGGGGGCCCGCACAAGCGGUGGAGCAUGUGGUUUAAUUCGAAGCAACGCGAAGAACCUUACCAGGGCUUGACAUCCAAUGAACUUUCCAGAAAUGGAUUGGUGCCUUCGGGAACAUUGACACGGGUGCUGCGUGGGUGUCCUCAUCUCGUGUCGUGAGAUGUUGGGUUAAGUCCCGUAACGAGCGCAACCCUUGUCCUUAGUUACCAGCACGUCAUGGUGGGCACUCUAAGGAGACUGCCGGUGACAAACCGGAGGAAGGUGGGGAUGACAUCAAGUCAUCAUGGCCCUUACCGUCUGGGCUACACUCGUGCUACAAUGGUCGGUACAGAGGGUUGCCAAGCCACGAGGUGGAGCUAAUCCCACAAAACCGAUCGUAGUCCGGAUCGCAUUCUGCAACUCGACUGCGUGAAGUCAGAAUCGAUAGUAAUCGCGAAUCAAAAUGUCGCGGUGAAUA